RNAcentral lists this ribosomal RNA (468 nucleotides) under uncultured bacterium. Its description in RNAcentral is "partial 16S ribosomal RNA". It matches the Rfam family "Bacterial small subunit ribosomal RNA", at positions 28 to 507 of the family's 1533-position model. The record is from RNAcentral.
GACGAACGCUGGCGGCGUGCUUAACACAUGCAAGUCGAACGGCAAGGCCCUGCUUUUGUGGGGUGCUCGAGUGGCGAACGGGUGAGUAACACGUGAGUAACCUGCCCUUCACUUUGGGAUAACUUCAGGAAACUGGGGCUAAUACCGGAUAGGAUCUCCUGCUGCAUUGUGGGCGUUGGAAAGUUUCGGCGGUUGGGGAUGGACUCGCGGCUUAUCAGCUUGUUGGUGGGGUAGUGGCUUACCCAGGCUUUGACGGGUAGCCGGCCUGAGAGGGUGACCGGCCACAUUGGGACUGAGAUACGGACCAGACGCCUACGGGAGGCAGUAGGGGGGAAUAUUGCACAAUGGGCGGAAGCCUGAGGCAGCAACGCCGCGUGCGGGAUGACGGCCUUCGGGUUGUAAACCGCUUUCGCCUGUGACGAAGCGUGAGUGACGGUAAUGGGUAAAGAAGCACCGGCUAACUACGUG